Molecule: non-coding RNA, 46 nt
Organism: Ailuropoda melanoleuca (giant panda)
Lineage: Eukaryota; Metazoa; Chordata; Mammalia; Carnivora; Ursidae
Source: Rfam
CCAAAGGCCUUUCUUAAGGCCAUUAGUUUAAAGUGACCAAGUGAGG